GGUAGCAGCCAUUUAACUGAUGUCUUUUUGUAUGAUUGUUCAUCACUUAAUAGAGGAUGAAUUCAGUUAAUGGAGAAUCAUCCUCAUUUGCACCAACUGAUAAUGCGUCUGUCACGGGUACUCCAGUAGUGUCUGAAGAAAAUGCCUUGUCUCCAAAUUGCACUAGUACUACUGUUGAAGAUCCUCCAGUUCAAGAAAUACUGACUUCCUCAGAAAACAAUGAAUGUAUUCCUUCUACCAGUGCAGAAUUGGAAUCUGAAGCUAGAAGUAUAUUAGAGCCUGACACCUCUAAUUCUAGAAGUAGUUCUGCUUUUGAAGCAGCCAAAUCAAGACAGCCAGAUGGGUGUAUGGAUCCUGUACGGCAGCAGUCUGGGAAUGCCAACACAGAAACCUUGCCAUCAGGGUGGGAACAAAGAAAAGAUCCUCAUGGUAGAACCUAUUAUGUGGAUCAUAAUACUCGAACCACCACAUGGGAGAGACCACAGCCUUUACCUCCAGGUUGGGAAAGAAGAGUUGAUGAUCGUAGAAGAGUUUAUUAUGUGGAUCAUAACACCAGAACAACAACGUGGCAGCGGCCUACCAUGGAAUCUGUCCGAAAUUUUGAACAGUGGCAAUCUCAGCGGAACCAAUUGCAGGGAGCUAUGCAACAGUUUAACCAACGAUACCUCUAUUCGGCUUCAA
RNAcentral lists this small RNA (681 nucleotides) under Pan troglodytes (chimpanzee). Its description in RNAcentral is "processed transcript". The record is from RNAcentral. Lineage: Eukaryota; Metazoa; Chordata; Mammalia; Primates; Hominidae.